Molecule: long non-coding RNA, 346 nt
Filed under: Meleagris gallopavo (turkey)
Lineage: Eukaryota; Metazoa; Chordata; Aves; Galliformes; Phasianidae
Description: lncRNA (ENSMGAG00000019013.1)
Source: RNAcentral
GCCAGGCCAAGGUGCACUUCUUAGUACCAAUUUCUUCCCUAUCACAAAUGCUUUCAGGUGACAAUAAGGGUAAUUUUUAGUAUUUCAGACUAAAAUUCUUUUGCUGGUCUCUGUGUCCUUACAGAGUUCAGACCCUGAAGACAUUUCAUAUUUAGCUGUUGCCUGACUUCAGUGCCUUUUAAUUGCAAAGAAGUCCUAACUUGGAAACACGCUGUGACACACUCUGGUUCAGAGUUUUCAGGAGAUCAUCACAUGCCAAACCACCUUUGCAGACCCACAACAAGAAAUUCAAGGUUAUGGCGCAAGUCUAGGGCACAGAUGAGACACUGAACACAAUGAGAUCACA